RNAcentral lists this ribosomal RNA (1415 nucleotides) under Enterococcus thailandicus. Its description in RNAcentral is "bacterial SSU rRNA". It matches the Rfam family "Bacterial small subunit ribosomal RNA". The record is from RNAcentral. Lineage: Bacteria; Bacillati; Bacillota; Bacilli; Lactobacillales; Enterococcaceae.
GGAGCUUGCUCCACCGAAAGAAAAGGAGUGGCGAACGGGUGAGUAACACGUGGGUAACCUGCCCAUCAGAAGGGGAUAACACUUGGAAACAGGUGCUAAUACCGUAUAACAAUCGAAACCGCAUGGUUUUGAUUUGAAAGGCGCUUUCGUGUCGCUGAUGGAUGGACCCGCGGUGCAUUAGCUAGUUGGUGAGGUAACGGCUCACCAAGGCCACGAUGCAUAGCCGACCUGAGAGGGUGAUCGGCCACAUUGGGACUGAGACACGGCCCAAACUCCUACGGGAGGCAGCAGUAGGGAAUCUUCGGCAAUGGACGAAAGUCUGACCGAGCAACGCCGCGUGAGUGAAGAAGGUUUUCGGAUCGUAAAACUCUGUUGUUAGAGAAGAACAAGGAUGAGAGUAACUGUUCAUCCCUUGACGGUAUCUAACCAGAAAGCCACGGCUAACUACGUGCCAGCAGCCGCGGUAAUACGUAGGUGGCAAGCGUUGUCCGGAUUUAUUGGGCGUAAAGCGAGCGCAGGCGGUUUCUUAAGUCUGAUGUGAAAGCCCCCGGCUCAACCGGGGAGGGUCAUUGGAAACUGGGAGACUUGAGUGCAGAAGAGGAGAGUGGAAUUCCAUGUGUAGCGGUGAAAUGCGUAGAUAUAUGGAGGAACACCAGUGGCGAAGGCGACUCUCUGGUCUGUAACUGACGCUGAGGCUCGAAAGCGUGGGGAGCAAACAGGAUUAGAUACCCUGGUAGUCCACGCCGUAAACGAUGAGUGCUAAGUGUUGGAGGGUUUCCGCCCUUCAGUGCUGCAGCUAACGCAUUAAGCACUCCGCCUGGGGAGUACGACCGCAAGGUUGAAACUCAAAGGAAUUGACGGGGGCCCGCACAAGCGGUGGAGCAUGUGGUUUAAUUCGAAGCAACGCGAAGAACCUUACCAGGUCUUGACAUCCUUUGACCACUCUAGAGAUAGAGCUUCCCCUUCGGGGGCAAAGUGACAGGUGGUGCAUGGUUGUCGUCAGCUCGUGUCGUGAGAUGUUGGGUUAAGUCCCGCAACGAGCGCAACCCUUAUUGUUAGUUGCCAUCAUUUAGUUGGGCACUCUAGCAAGACUGCCCGUGACAAACCGGAGGAAGGUGGGGAUGACGUCAAAUCAUCAUGCCCCUUAUGACCUGGGCUACACACGUGCUACAAUGGGAAGUACAACGAGUCGCGAAGUCGCGAGGCUAAGCUAAUCUCUUAAAGCUUCUCUCAGUUCGGAUUGUAGGCUGCAACUCGCCUACAUGAAGCCGGAAUCGCUAGUAAUCGCGGAUCAGCACGCCGCGGUGAAUACGUUCCCGGGCCUUGUACACACCGCCCGUCACACCACGAAAGUUUGUAACACCCGAAGUCGGUGAGGUAACCUUUUGGAGCCAGCCCCCUAAGGUGGGAUAAAU